Molecule: ribosomal RNA, 345 nt
Filed under: uncultured bacterium
Lineage: Bacteria
Description: bacterial SSU rRNA
Rfam family: Bacterial small subunit ribosomal RNA
Source: RNAcentral
AUUGAACGCUGGCGGCAUGCCUAACACAUGCAAGUCGAACGGCAGCACGGCAGUAGCAAUACUGUGGGUGGCGAGUGGCGGACGGGUGAGGAAUACGUCGGAAUCUGCCCAAUCGUGGGGGAUAACUAACCGAAAGGUUAGCUAAUACCGCAUACGACCGAGAGGUGAAAGCGGGGGACCGGCAAGGCCUCGCGCGAUUGGAUGAGCCGACGUCGGAUUAGCUUGUUGGUGGGGUAAAGGGACCUACCAAGGCAACGAUCCGUAGCUGGUCUGAGAGGAUGAUCAGCCACACUGGAACUGAGACACGGUCCAGACUCCUACGGGAGGCAGCAGUGGGGAAGUAUU